This 459-nucleotide ribosomal RNA is filed under the name uncultured bacterium. RNAcentral's name for it is "partial 16S ribosomal RNA". It matches the Rfam family "Bacterial small subunit ribosomal RNA", at positions 338 to 795 of the family's 1533-position model. The record is from RNAcentral.
CCUACGGGCGGCAGCAGUGAGGAAUAUUGGUCAAUGGCCGGAAGGCUGAACCAGCCAAGCCGCGUGAAGGACGAAGGUGCCAAGCAUUGUAAACUUCUUUUGUCAAGGGACAAAAUCAGGCUCGAGAGCCUGACCGAGGGUACUUGAAGAAAAAGCAUCGGCUAACUCCGUGCCAGCAGCCGCGGUAAUACGGAGGAUGCGAGCGUUAUCCGGAUUUAUUGGGUUUAAAGGGUGCGUAGGCGGGCUGUUAAGUCAGCGGUAAAAGUCCGGGGCUCAACCCCGGCGAGCCGUUGAAACUGGCUGUCUUGAGAUGUCGAGAGGUAUGCGGAAUGCGCAGUGUAGCGGUGAAAUGCUUAGAUAUUGCGCAGAACUACGAUUGCGAAGGCAGCAUACCGGCGGCGAUCUGACGCUGAGGCACGAAAGCGUGGGUAUCGAACAGGAUUAGAUACCCUUGUAGUC